RNAcentral lists this ribosomal RNA (253 nucleotides) under uncultured bacterium. RNAcentral describes it as "partial 16S ribosomal RNA". It matches the Rfam family "Bacterial small subunit ribosomal RNA", at positions 524 to 776 of the family's 1533-position model. The record is from RNAcentral.
UACAGAGGUCUCAAGCGUUGUUCGGAUUCAUUGGGCGUAAAGGGUGUGUAGGCGGCGCGGUAAGUCGGGUGUGAAAUCUCGGAGCUUAACUCCGAAACUGCAUUCGAUACUGCCGUGCUUGAGGACUGGAGAGGAGACUGGAAUUUACGGUGUAGCGGUGAAAUGCGUAGAUAUCGUAAGGAAGACCAGUGGCGAAGGCGGGUCUCUGGACAGUUCCUGACGCCGAGGCACGAAGGCCAGGGGAGCAAACGGG